This 252-nucleotide ribosomal RNA is filed under the name uncultured bacterium. RNAcentral describes it as "partial 16S ribosomal RNA". It matches the Rfam family "Bacterial small subunit ribosomal RNA", at positions 524 to 776 of the family's 1533-position model. The record is from RNAcentral.
UACAGAGGUCCCAAGCGUUGUUCGGAUUCACUGGGCGUAAAGGGUGCGUAGGUGGUUGUGCAAGUCUGAUGUGAAAUCUCCGGGCUCAACCCGGAAAUGGCAUUGGAAACUGCAUGGCUAGAGGGUUGGAGGGGGACUGGAAUACUUGGUGUAGCAGUGAAAUGCGUAGAUAUCAAGUGGAACACCAGUGGCGAAGGCGAGUCCCUGGACAACACCUGACACUGAGGCACGAAAGCUAGGGGAGCAAACAGG